GGCUUGCAUGGAACUUUCACAUACUCGUGCAGGGAGAUUCUCGAGUCUUUUCGCGCCAGUCGACAGGCGUCAAAGGACAAAGCCUUGCAUGCAAUGCAACACGCACUCACUGCCACUCCCUAUGCACAGCAUGCAUGAUCCCCAUCAGAGUCCCAGAGCUAGCUCAGGUUGAGGGGCAUGGCAGCCAUGCCCAUGCCCCCAAGCUAGCUAGUCCCCGGGCGCUUGGCGCUGGCCCGGCCCUCACUCCCUUGCUACCCAUCCACUAGUUAUCGCAGAUUCGCAGGCAUAAACUAAUCCGGCCGGCUGCAGCUAGUCAUCGGCAACGCUGCAGUAUAAAUUCAGGGCAGCUCCAUCGACGAGCCCCUGGGGGACCAGGCUGGGAGAGCCCCUCCCUGGUCUCCUCUCCUCUUCUAUCCGAGCUCGGCAUUCAGGGCUACUACACCCGCGCUUACAUGCAUCCAUUCAUGCAUAUUCAUAUAUGCAUAUGCAUUGUUCGUUCUGAAAAGGGGAAGGUUUUUGAUCGAGAGGCAAUGCAAUGAUCAGGUAUGGAUUAUUUGGACAUUUAAUUCCACGCAUGGUUCUUCAGUGAUUAUCUGUGUCCAUGCAUCUCUGAACUAAGGAUGUACCAGCAGGGUGUGGUCGAGGUCGAUCGUGGAUCAUGGCCGCAGCCGGCGGCCGCAUGCAUGCAUGGGAUGAUGCUGUAGGCACACACAACUCUGUGCGCGGCCAGCGGCAUUGGCGCCUCCUGUCGCCACAGCUUUGGAUAGAGGAACCAAAAAAACGGGUCAUGUGGCUAGCAGCUUCUGUCGUUUAUUUUCACUUUAUUAAUUAGUUAUAUAAUCGCAUGCUCUAUUGUUGGUAACUGUUGUACUAUAUAUAUCUAGUUCUCUUCGCUGUUCAGAAGAUUGUAGAACUUAUGCAAUUCUAGUUUCCUCUUUCAUCCUGAGUUUUUUUCUUCUUGCCGUGGUUGUUUGAAUGCUUCUUAGUACUCUGUAUAUCACUAUGCAGUUUUGUAUAUGCACUUUAACAUAACUACCAAAGUUUUGAUUGAAUAUAUAUACAAUACAUGGUACUACCGAACAAAGU
This 1086-nucleotide long non-coding RNA is filed under the name Sorghum bicolor (sorghum). RNAcentral describes it as "long non-coding RNA (SBIC_LNC011449)". The record is from RNAcentral. Lineage: Eukaryota; Viridiplantae; Streptophyta; Magnoliopsida; Poales; Poaceae.